CGGGGCGUAGCGCAGCUCGGUAGCGCGCCUGCUUUGGGAGCAGGAUGUCGCAUGUUCAAAUCAUGUCGCCCCGACCA
RNAcentral lists this transfer RNA (77 nucleotides) under Desulfovibrio sp. Its description in RNAcentral is "tRNA-Pro". It matches the Rfam family "tRNA". Rfam says of the family: Transfer RNA (tRNA) molecules are approximately 80 nucleotides in length. Lineage: Bacteria; Pseudomonadati; Thermodesulfobacteriota; Desulfovibrionia; Desulfovibrionales; Desulfovibrionaceae. The record is from RNAcentral. RNAcentral also lists the same sequence under 6 other names.